UACGUAGGGUCCGAGCGUUGUCCGGAAUUAUUGGGCGUAAAGGGCUCGUAGGCGGUUUGUCGCGUCGGGAGUGAAAACACGGGGCUUAACCCCGUGCCUGCUUCCGAUACGGGCAGACUAGAGGUAUGCAGGGGAGAACGGAAUUCCUGGUGUAGCGGUGAAAUGCGCAGAUAUCAGGAGGAACACCGGUGGCGAAGGCGGGUCUCUGGGCCACUACUGACGCUGAGAAGCGAAAGCAUGGGGAGCGAACAGG
RNAcentral lists this ribosomal RNA (253 nucleotides) under uncultured bacterium. RNAcentral describes it as "partial 16S ribosomal RNA". It matches the Rfam family "Bacterial small subunit ribosomal RNA", at positions 524 to 776 of the family's 1533-position model. The record is from RNAcentral.